This 171-nucleotide unclassified non-coding RNA is filed under the name uncultured Chaetothyriales. Its description in RNAcentral is "sequence contains ITS2". RNAcentral also lists the same sequence under 2 other names. The record is from RNAcentral. Lineage: Eukaryota; Fungi; Ascomycota; Eurotiomycetes; Chaetothyriales.
UCCUCCCUCAAACCUCCGGGUUUGGUGUUGGACCGCGUUGGAUCGUCCGCGACCAACUGGUCUCAAAGACAAUGACGGCGUCCGUGGGACCCUCUUCGCACUGAGCUUUCCGGAGCACGCGUCGAGUUUCAAGGUGUCACGGGCCCGGCCACCUCUAAAUCUAUUUUUUCA